RNAcentral lists this ribosomal RNA (450 nucleotides) under uncultured bacterium. RNAcentral's name for it is "partial 16S ribosomal RNA". It matches the Rfam family "Bacterial small subunit ribosomal RNA", at positions 354 to 796 of the family's 1533-position model. The record is from RNAcentral.
GUGGGGAAUAUUGGACAAUGGGGGGAACCCUGAUCCAGCCAUGCCGCGUGUGUGAAGAAGGCCUUUUGGUUGUAAAGCACUUUAAGCGAGGAGGAGGCUACUUAGAUUAAUACUCUAGGAUAGUGGACGUUACUCGCAGAAUAAGCACCGGCUAACUCUGUGCCAGCAGCCGCGGUAAUACAGAGGGUGCAAGCGUUAAUCGGAUUUACUGGGCGUAAAGCGCGCGUAGGUGGCCAAUUAAGUCAAAUGUGAAAUCCCCGAGCUUAACUUGGGAAUUGCAUUCGAUACUGGUUGGCUAGAGUAUGGGAGAGGAUGGUAGAAUUCCAGGUGUAGCGGUGAAAUGCGUAGAGAUCUGGAGGAAUACCGAUGGCGAAGGCAGCCAUCUGGCCUAAUACUGACGCUGAGUACGAAAGCAUGGGGAGCAAACAGGAUUAGAAACCCGGGUAGUCC